GUAAACAUAGUUUAUAAAAACGCUAGACUGUGAAUCUAGAAUUAGAAGACGCAUUCUUCUUGUUUACC
RNAcentral lists this transfer RNA (68 nucleotides) under Euchoreutes naso (Long-eared jerboa). RNAcentral describes it as "tRNA-His". It matches the Rfam family "tRNA". Rfam says of the family: Transfer RNA (tRNA) molecules are approximately 80 nucleotides in length. Their secondary structure includes four short double-helical elements and three loops (D, anti-codon, and T loops). Lineage: Eukaryota; Metazoa; Chordata; Mammalia; Rodentia; Dipodidae. The record is from RNAcentral.